RNAcentral lists this ribosomal RNA (696 nucleotides) under uncultured bacterium. RNAcentral's name for it is "bacterial SSU rRNA". It matches the Rfam family "Bacterial small subunit ribosomal RNA", at positions 32 to 715 of the family's 1533-position model. The record is from RNAcentral.
AACGCUAGCUACAGGCUUAACACAUGCAAGUCGAGGGGCAGCAUUUNCAGUUUGCNUGCAAACUGGAGAUGGCGACCGGCGCACGGGUGAGUAACACGUAUCCAACCUGCCGAUAACUCGGGGAUAGCCUUUCGAAAGAAAGAUUAAUACCCGGUGGUAUAAUUAGACCGCAUGGUCUUGUUAUUAAAGAAUUUCGGUUAUCGAUGGGGAUGCGUUCCAUUAGGCAGUUGGUGAGGUAACGGCUCACCAAACCUUCGAUGGAUAGGGGUUCUGAGAGGAAGGUCCCCCACAUUGGAACUGAGACACGGUCCAAACUCCUACGGGAGGCAGCAGUGAGGAAUAUUGGUCAAUGGGCGCAGGCCUGAACCAGCCAAGUAGCGUGAAGGAUGACUGCCCUAUGGGUUGUAAACUUCUUUUAUAUGGGAAUAAAGUUUUCCACGUGUGGAAUUUUGUAUGUACCAUAUGAAUAAGGAUCGGCUAACUCCGUGCCAGCAGCCGCGGUAAUACGGAGGAUCCGAGCGUUAUCCGGAUUUAUUGGGUUUAAAGGGAGCGUAGGUGGACAGUUAAGUCAGUUGUGAAAGUUUGCGGCUCAACCGUAAAAUUGCAGUUGAUACUGGCUGUCUUGAGUACAGUAGAGGUGGGCGGAAUUCGUGGUGUAGCGGUGAAAUGCUUAGAUAUCACGAAGAACUCCGAUUG